RNAcentral lists this ribosomal RNA (497 nucleotides) under uncultured bacterium. RNAcentral describes it as "bacterial SSU rRNA". It matches the Rfam family "Bacterial small subunit ribosomal RNA", at positions 29 to 544 of the family's 1533-position model. The record is from RNAcentral.
AGUGAACGCUGGCGGCAGGCCUAAUACAUGCAAGUCGAACGGCAGCACAGCAGAGCUUGCUCUGUGGGUGGCGAGUGGCGGACGGGUGAGGAAUACAUGGGAAUCUGCCCAGUCGUGGGGGAUAACGUAUGGAACGUACGCUAAUACCGCAUGAUGGCGAGAGCCCAAAGAUUUAUCGCCUUGGGAGCGGCCUGCGUCUGAUUAGCUUGUUGGUGGGGUAACGGGCCUACCAAGGCGAUGAUCAGUAGCUGGUCUGAGAGGAUGAUCAGCCACACUGGGACUGAGACACGGCCCAGACUCCUACGGGAGGCAGCAGUGGGGAAUAUUGGACAAUGGGCGAAAGCCUGAUCCAGCAAUGCCGCGUGGAUGAAGAAGGUCUUCGGAUUGUAAAGUCCUUUCGGCGGGGACGAUGGUAGUCGGUACCCGGUACCGACAAGGAAAGGAACCCGGGCCCGGUAACCUUAACGUUUCCGGCGACCGACGACGACCGGCCCGGA